This is a non-coding RNA of Oncorhynchus mykiss (rainbow trout), 2846 nucleotides long. The record is from RefSeq and is a predicted model, not a curated record. Lineage: Eukaryota; Metazoa; Chordata; Actinopteri; Salmoniformes; Salmonidae.
CUGACCAGCAGAGGUCCCUAAUGGUCAUUGUGUUAAAAACUCUUGAGUAAUGAACUAUUUUUCAGCACAAUUUGGUGAAAGCCCAAAAGGCUUCAGAAAUCCUUGGUUUACACAUCAUUAGGCGUUAGCUUUCUGGUUCUGUUGCUCGUUGAUACUUGUAUCGGUUGGCUCUGGUCUUGAGAGCGGCACGCAGCCUGGGAGACCGUGCCGCCAGUCAAGCGCUGUUUAGGGCUUGAACGCCCCACGAACAUUGCUUACAGGAAGAGGGUGCAGUGGAUGAGCAGCUGGACGCUGGUUAACGUUAGACCUAAAAACAGGGAGGGCAAUAUUGAUACAUUCUAAAUUAUGGAGUUAAGACGGACAAACCCAGCGUGCAAUUGUGUUUUACUAUGUGGAAUAACCUUAUGUCUUAUUUUCGGUAUAAAUCUAACAUUCGCUAUAGAGUUGUACGCCCCGGCGGAAGUGCUGGUUGAGAAUGGCACCACGGGGAUCCUCAAGUGUACCUUCAAGUCCAGGGAAGUGAUCAGCAGUGCAGCCACAGUCAUCUGGUCGUUUUCCCCAGCGGGAUCUGAUGCCGGAAGCGCUGUUUCCAUUUUCUAUUACACUUCUGCAAACCACUACCCAGGGAGUGUGGCUCAAUUCAAAGACAGGGUGAAAUGGGCGGGAGACCUGAACAAAAAAGAUGCCUCAGUCCAUUUAAUUGAGGCGCAGUUCAACGACAAUGGCACCUACUCAUGUGCCGUGAUUAACCCGCCUGACAUAUCUGGCACCGCCGCUCAGACACAGCUCAAGGUCGUCAUCAAAGAGUCUCUCCCUCAAGACAACACGGCCGUCGUAGUGGCCGCCGUGUGUGGCGCCGUCAUCGGGCUUAUCCUCAUCUCUGUGGUUACCUGCCUGAUCAUCAAGAGGCAUCAAACCACCCAUGAAUACGAAGGUCUUCUCCUGUGUGUGUCUGUGUCUGUAUGUGUCCAUGUCGCCUAUUUCUCUGUGCGCCAACGCUUCCCGAACUGCACAAAACAAACCUCUGGUUUGCAAACCCCUCACCCGGCGCAAAAACUAGCUGCACGUCAGUGGAGAGUGUGAGCUCCCACGCCACACGCCCGGGGGGGAAGAAACCAGAGUCCAGCUUGGAGGGCUCCAGGUGUAGCAGCCACUCCACCCCGGUCCAGGUAGGAGCUACAGGACCGGUGAUAUACGCCCAGUUGGAUCACACAGGCACCAAGAACCCCAACUCAUUCCACAAGAUGGAGCCAGUGGUCUACGCUGACAUAAGGAAAAACUGAAGAGAACUGGAGACGAAAAUGGACAGGCCACCAUAGCUCGCUGCUUUGGGAUGGGUGGGUGGGGGUUGUUUAAAUACAAGGUUAGAAUUUAUGCUGUUUUGAAAGAUUUAUUUUUUGUAAUUAAUUUGUCCUUUUGUCUGCUGAAAGCAUUCAUUGCAUGUUCAUGUGUGUGGUAAAACAGUUACACUACCAAGGAUUUCAAUACAAUAAUACAACACAGAGAUUAGAGAAACACUGCCUUCAGAAAGUAUUCAUACCCCUUGAUGUCCUCCACAUUUUAUUCUGUUACAGCCUGAAUUCUAAAUGGAUAUGUUUUUUUUUUGUUUUACCCAGCUACCCACAAUACCACAUGACAGUGAAAAGUGAAUUUUUGUUAGCAAAUUUAUUGAAAAUGAAAUACAGAAAUAGUACAUUCACAUAAGUAUUCACACCCCUCUGUCAAUACAUGUUAGAAUCACCUUUGGCAGUUAUCACAGCUGUGAGUCGUUCUGGGUAAGCCUCUAAGAGCUUUACACACCUGAAUUGUACAGUAUCUGCACAUGUAUUAUUUAAAAAUUCUUCAAUUUCUGUCAAGUUGGUUGUUGAUCUUUGCUAGACAGCCAUUUCUAAGUUUUAUCAUAGAUUUCCAAGCCCAUUUAAGUCCAAACUGCAACUAGGCCAAUCAGGAAUAUUCAAUGUCGUCUUGGUAAGCAACUCCAGUGUAUAUUUGGCCUUGUGUUUUAGGUUAUUGUCCUACUGAAAAGCGAAUUUGACUCCUAGUGUCUGUUGGAAAGCAGACUGAACCAGUGUAUUGUGUAUCUUUUUAAAUUUUUUAUUAAAUGCUCUGUCUUGAUGCUGAGCCCUCCACUGUCAAGUCUUAAAAAUCCGUCUUUAGUGUUUUUAACUAUGUUUUUGCUGUUGACAAAAUGGUUUUGAUCACCGUAAGAAUGCUAGAGGAAGCGUCAUUUCUUUAUUCCAAAACUGCCUUAUCCACUAGUCCUGCAAAAUAUAGCAAAAGUAAUUGACAAUUUACAUUCCAAAAAAAUACAUCAAAUACUGUAGCUUAUCUUGUGCUUUUGCAGCAUUAGUGCGUGUGUGUGGUAAUAGUUAAGGUAGUAUUGUCCUUGAUUAUGCAUUAUGAAAAAGCGUUUUGUUUACAGUACGCUCAGAUUCUCAAAAAAUGACGGUGUCAAAGUUUGGAUAAGUACAGUUUACAAAACCCAUUCCACUGUUACGUGUCUUAAGUGUGAAGUCGUACUUUUAGCUGUUAAGUAGCAAUGUAGUGUGUGUCAUUUGGUGCUUGUUUAUAUAAUAUUGUAUGUUGCAAAACCUGCACUAUAUCCCGCAUAUCAAAGACCACAAGCACUAUAUGAUUUUAUUUUUCUUCUUCUGUUCGAUGUCUUAACUGGAAUGUAGUACAUUUAGUGCCUUUUGUAUUUCAUCUACCAUCUUGAACACCUGCUCUCGCUCUUUAAUUUUUUUCUAAUUUAUUUACUUCCUUCAUUGUAUGUUUUUUUUAUACAUAUAGAAAAACAUAAUCCUCUGUAUCUGAUGUUCAAAUGUUAUAUAAAAGCCAUUUCCUGA